Molecule: ribosomal RNA, 387 nt
Filed under: uncultured bacterium
Lineage: Bacteria
Description: bacterial SSU rRNA
Rfam family: Bacterial small subunit ribosomal RNA
Source: RNAcentral
AUUAAACGCUGGCGGCAUGCCUUACACAUGCAAGUCGAACGGUAGCGCGGGGCAACCUGGCGACGAGUGGCGAACGGGUGAGUAAAGCAUCGGAACGUGCCCUGGAAUGGGGGAUAACGUAGCGAAAGUUACGCUAGUACCGCAUAUUCUGUGAGCAGGAAAGCAGGGGAUCGCAAGACCUUGCGUUCUGGGAGCGGCCGAUGUCGGAUUAGCUAGUUGGUGGGGUAAAAGCCUACCAAGGCGACGAUCCGUAGCGGGUCUGAGAGGAUGAUCCGCCACACUGGGACUGAGACACGGCCCAGACUCCUACGGGAGGCAGCAGUGGGGAAUUUUGGACAAUGGGCGGAAGCCUGAUCCAGCCAUGCCGCGUGAGUGAAGAAGGCCUUC